This 497-nucleotide ribosomal RNA is filed under the name uncultured bacterium. RNAcentral describes it as "partial 16S ribosomal RNA". It matches the Rfam family "Bacterial small subunit ribosomal RNA", at positions 28 to 507 of the family's 1533-position model. The record is from RNAcentral.
GAUGAACGCUGGCGGCGUGCCUAAUACAUGCAAGUCGAGCGAACGGACGAGAAGCUUGCUUCUCUGAUGUUAGCGGCGGACGGGUGAGUAACACGUGGAUAACCUACCUAUAAGACUGGGAUAACUUCGGGAAACCGGAGCUAAUACCGGAUAAUAUUUUGAACAGCAUGGUUCAAAAGUGAAAGACGGUCUUGCUGUCACUUAUAGAUGGAUCCGCGCUGCAUUAGCUAGUUGGUAAGGUAACGGCUUACCAAGGCAACGAUGCAUAGCCGACCUGAGAGGGUGGUCGGCCACACUGGAACUGAGACACGGUCCAGACUCCUACGGGAGGCAGCAGUAGGGAAUCUUCCGCAAUGGGCGAAAGCCUGACGGAGCAACGCCGCGUGAGUGAUGAAGGUCUUCGGAUCGUAAAACUCUGUUAUUAGGGAAGAACAUAUGUGUAAGUAACUGUGCACAUCUUGACGGUACCUAAUCAGAAAGCCACGGCUAACUACGUG